UCUCUUCUCCCUCCGCAGCUCCGCUUCAUGGCUGCAGAUUAGGGUUUACGGUGGGAGUUGGGUAUUUUCUUUCUCCUCCCUGACGUAGAUUGGGGAAGUAGAACGGGAGUGAUGCGGAGGCCGAAGCCGGACCCCUCCGUUCCUGUGAGGAGGAGGAGGUUUGUUCAGUUCCUACUUGGCGUUGGGCUCAUAUACCUCUCCUUCCUCUUACUCUUCGAGUUUCCGUUCGUCAACCUCCAGUUGCGGAUGAAAGGUGCUGGUGGGAUUGUUGGCGGCGACGAGGUGCCGCGCCGACUUGCCCUUGUCAAAGAGGAGAGGACCCAAGUGAAGUACUCCCCGAGUCGCUCCUUUAUGCUUCCUCAUCGAUCGGAUGAGUCCGCUGCUUCUCCGCUCCAGCAACGCCCGACUCUUCUGCACCGGCGGUCGCUGAUUGUCUCUGCAUUCGAUUUUGUGGAGCUGUACUCCAGUGGGACUGGAGCCUUCUCGGACCUCUACAAAUCGGCGAGGGAUGCGUGGGAGGUGGGAAAGAAAAUAUUAGAGGAACUGAAAGCUCCACCGCCGCCAUCUUCUUCGGUACCGGCGAUGGAAAGAUCGGCAGAAGAGAGCUGCCCGAUCUCGAUCCAGUUAUCGGGGGAGGAGCUCCAGGUUCGAAACAGAGUGAUGGUGCUGCCCUGUGGGCUCACACUGGGGUCCCACAUCACAUUGGUGGCAAGACCUCGCCGGUCUCAUGGGGAGUCUAACCCAAAGAUACCGUCUUUGAAAGAAGGGGAGCAUAGCGUCACGAUGUCUCAAUUCAUGAUAGAGCUGCAGGGACUCAAGACAGUGGAUGGAGAACAACCACCAAGGAUCCUCCACUUCAACCCUCGGUUGAGGGGGGAUUGGAGUGGAAAACCUGUGAUCGAGCAGAACACCUGCUACCGCAUGCAAUGGGGCACUUCUCAGCGAUGCGAGGGGAAGAAGUCCAAGGAUGAUGAGGAGACAGUUGAUGGGUUAGUGAAAUGUGAAGAGUGGAUUCAGGACGUUGAUAAUAAAGUGAAAAAAUCAAAGAUGGCUUCGUGGUUCAAUACUUUGAUAGGUUCCACAAAGAACUCACUCGAUCGGCCAUAUCCAUUUGUAGAGGGCAACUUAUUUGUUCUGACUCUAACUGCUGGCCUAGAAGGUUUCCAUGUGAAUGUUGAUGGGAGGCAUGUAACAUCCUUUGCUUAUCGCACUGGUUUUGUUCUUGAGGAUGCCACUGGCUUGUCACUGAAUGGAGAUCUUGACAUUGAGUCCAUAUAUGCUGCUUCUUUGCCUGCCAUUCAUCCUAUUUUUGCCCCACAAAGGCAUCUUGAAAUGUCUGCACAAUGGCAGGCUCCUCCACUUCCUGAUCAACCCAUUGAACUAUUCAUUGGCAUACUUUCAGCGGGCAACCAUUUUGCAGAGCGCAUGGCAAUCAGAAAAUCAUGGAUGUCUGCUGUGAGGGAAUCAUCAAAUGUUGUAGCACGUUUCUUUGUUUCAUUGCAUGGGAGGAAGGAAAUGAAUAUGGAGCUAAAGAAGGAAGCUGAAUUCUUUGGGGACAUUGUCAUAGUUCCCUACAUCGACAGCUAUGAUUUAAUUGUUCUGAAGACAGUUGCUAUUUGUGAGUAUGGGGCUCGAACCUUACCUGCCAAUUACAUAAUGAAGUGCGAUGAUGACACAUUUCUUAGACUUGAUUCAGUGCUCAAGGAAGUUAAUAAAGUGCCAACUGAUACAAGUCUAUACAUAGGGAACAUUAAUUAUUACCAUAAACCCCUUCGUUCUGGGAAAUGGGCUGUCACAUACGAGGAAUGGCCUGAAAAGGACUACCCACCUUAUGCAGAUGGUCCGGGCUAUGUUGUCUCAGCUGACAUUGCAUACUUUGUCAUAUCAGAGUUUGAAAAACAUACACUAAAAUUAUUUAAGAUGGAAGAUGUGAGCAUGGGCAUGUGGGUGGAGAGAUUCAAUGAUUCUAAGCCCGUUAAGUACGUGCACAACGUCAAGUUCUGCCAGUUCGGGUGCAUCAAUGAUUAUUACACUUCGCAUUACCAAUCUCCUAGGCAGAUGAUAUGCUUGUGGGAGAAGUUACGGGCCGGAAGGCCGCAGUGUUGCAACAUGAGAUGAGGUGCAAAGCGUGCCUAAGGCAAACUAGAUGCUUGUUUCAUCCAUUUUCUUGAUGGCUGGCUACAUCCAAGCAGAUGAUCCACCUUCGCCACAUUCAUUCAUUAUUUGAUUCUCAAUUCAAUAUAGAUCUUUUUGCUGCAUACUGUACAUGUCUUCAAGGGUAGAUCAAUUGACUGGAACUCUCAAGAUUAUAAAAUUUCUGCCGGUAAGAUUCGUGUCAAAAUGUUCUCAUAAGUUAUUAAAUAACAAAGGUCCUUCUGGAACACUUGACUAGUGCGACUGGUAAGAG
This is an RNA transcript of Zingiber officinale, 2407 nucleotides long. It is a transcript of the gene named hydroxyproline O-galactosyltransferase GALT6-like, with no coding region annotated. The record is from RefSeq and is a predicted model, not a curated record. NCBI's taxonomy places the organism in Eukaryota, Viridiplantae, Streptophyta, Magnoliopsida, Zingiberales, Zingiberaceae. The transcript is spliced from 8 exons.